RNAcentral lists this ribosomal RNA (436 nucleotides) under uncultured Oscillospiraceae bacterium. RNAcentral describes it as "bacterial SSU rRNA". It matches the Rfam family "Bacterial small subunit ribosomal RNA", at positions 341 to 792 of the family's 1533-position model. Lineage: Bacteria; Bacillati; Bacillota; Clostridia; Eubacteriales; Oscillospiraceae. The record is from RNAcentral.
ACGGGAGGCAGCAGUGGGGAAUAUUGCACAAUGGGCGCAAGCCUGAUGCAGCAACGCCGCGUGAGGGAAGACGGUUUUCGGAUUGUAAACCUCUGUCUUUGGUGACGAAGAAGUGACGGUAGCCAAGGAGGAAGCCACGGCUAACUACGUGCCAGCAGCCGCGGUAAUACGUAGGUGGCAAGCGUUAUCCGGAAUUACUGGGUGUAAAGGGCGCGUAGGCGGGGAAGCAAGUCAGAUGUGAAAUCCAUGGGCUCGACCCAUGAACUGCAUUUGAAACUGUUUCUCUUGAGUGCUGGAGAGGUAGAUGGAAUUCCUAGUGUAGCGGUGAAAUGCGUAGAUAUUAGGAAGAACACCAGUGGCGAAGGCGAUCUACUGGACAGUAACUGACGCUGAGGCGCGAAAGCGUGGGGAGCAAACAGGAUUAGAUACCCUGGUA